UACGGGGGGGGCAAGCGUUGUUCGGAAUUACUGGGCGUAAAGGGCUCGUAGGUGGCCAACUAAGUCAGACGUGAGAUCCCUCGGCUUAACCGGGGAACUGCGUCUGAUACUGGAUGGCUGGAGAUUGGGAGAGGGAUGCGGAAUUCCAGGUGUAGCGGUGAAAUGCGUAGAUAUCUGGAGGAACACCGGUGGCGAAGGCGGCAUCCUGGACCAAUAUUGACGCUGAGGAGCGAAAGCUAGGGGAGCAAACGGG
Molecule: ribosomal RNA, 253 nt
Filed under: uncultured bacterium
Lineage: Bacteria
Description: partial 16S ribosomal RNA
Rfam family: Bacterial small subunit ribosomal RNA
Source: RNAcentral